GAUGAACGCUGGCGGCGUGCCUAAUACAUGCAAGUCGAGCGAACGGACGAGGAGCUUGCUCCUCUGACGUUAGCGGCGGACGGGUGAGUAACACGUGGAUAACCUACCUAUAAGACUGGGAUAACUUCGGGAAACCGGAGCUAAUACCGGAUAAUAUAUUGAACCGCAUGGUUCAAUAGUGAAAGACGGUUUUGCUGUCACUUAUAGAUGGAUCCGCGCCGCAUUAGCUAGUUGGUAAGGUAACGGCUUACCAAGGCAACGAUGCGUAGCCGACCUGAGAGGGUGAUCGGCCACACUGGAACUGAGACACGGUCCAGACUCCUACGGGAGGCAGCAGUAGGGAAUCUUCCGCAAUGGGCGAAAGCUUGACGGAGCAACGCCGCGUGAGUGAUGAAGGUCUUCGGAUCGUAAAACUCUGUUAUUAGGGAAGAACAAAUGUGUAAGUAACUAUGCACGUCUUGACGGUACCUAAUCAGAGAGCCACGGCUAACUACGUG
Molecule: ribosomal RNA, 497 nt
Filed under: uncultured bacterium
Lineage: Bacteria
Description: partial 16S ribosomal RNA
Rfam family: Bacterial small subunit ribosomal RNA
Source: RNAcentral